CCUACGGGAGGCAGCAGUGGGGAAUAUUGCACAAUGGGGGAAACCCUGAUGCAGCGACGCCGCGUGAGUGAAGACGUAAUUCGUUAUGUAAAGCUCUAUCAGCAGGGAAGAAAAUGACGGUACCUGAGUAAGAAGCCCCGGCUAACUACGUGCAAGCAGCCGCGGUAAUACGUAGGGGGCAAGCGUUAUCCGGAUUUACUGGGUGGAAAGGGAGCGUAGACGGCAGUGCAAGUCUGGAGUGAAAGGCGGGGGCUCAACCCCCGGACUGCGCUGGAAACUGUACGGCUGGAGUGCAGGAGAGGUAAGUGGAAUUCCUAGUGUAGCGGUGAAAUGCGUAGAUAUUAGGAGGAACACCAGUGGCGAAGGCGGCUUACUGGACUGUAACUGACGUUGAGGCUCGAAAGCGUGGGGAGCAAACAGGAUUAGAUACCCCUGUAGUC
Molecule: ribosomal RNA, 440 nt
Filed under: uncultured bacterium
Lineage: Bacteria
Description: partial 16S ribosomal RNA
Rfam family: Bacterial small subunit ribosomal RNA
Source: RNAcentral